GAUGAACGCUGGCGGCGUGCCUAAUACAUGCAAGUCGAGCGAACAGACGAGGAGCUUGCUCCUCUGACGUUAGCGGCGGACGGGUGAGUAACACGUGGAUAACCUACCUAUAAGACUGGGAUAACUUCGGGAAACCGGAGCUAAUACCGGAUAAUAUAUUUAACCGCAUGGUUCAAUAGUGAAAGACGGUUUUGCUGUCACCUAUAGAUGGAUCCGCGCCACAUUAGCUAGUUGGUAAGGUAACGGCAUACCAAGGCACGAUGCGUGGCCGACCUGAGAGGUGGAUGGGCCACACUGGAACUGGGACACGCUCCAGACUCCUAGGGGAGGCGGCAUAAGGGAUUCUUCGGCAAUGGGCGAAGGCCUGACGGAGCAACGCCGCGUAGGUAAGGAAGGUCUUCGGAUCGAAAGACUCUUUUAUUAGGGAAGAAAAAAUCUGUAAGUACCUAUGCGCGUCUUGACGGUACCUAAUCAGAAAGCCACGGCUAACUACGUG
RNAcentral lists this ribosomal RNA (496 nucleotides) under uncultured bacterium. RNAcentral's name for it is "partial 16S ribosomal RNA". It matches the Rfam family "Bacterial small subunit ribosomal RNA", at positions 28 to 507 of the family's 1533-position model. The record is from RNAcentral.